AGUGAACGCUGGCGGUAGGCCUAACACAUGCAAGUCGAACGGCAGCACAGUAAGAGCUUGCUCUUACGGGUGGCGAGUGGCGGACGGGUGAGGAAUACAUCGGAAUCUACUUUUUCGUGGGGGAUAACGUAGGGAAACUUACGCUAAUACCGCAUACGACCUACGGUUGAAAGCAGGGGAUCUUCGGACCUUGCGCGAUUGAAUGAGCCGAUGUCGGAUUAGCUAGUUGGCGGGGUAAAGGCCCACCAAGGCGACGAUCCGUAGCUGGUCUGAGAGGAUGAUCAGCCACACUGGAACUGAGACACGGUCCAGACUCCUACGGGAGGAAGCAGUGGGGAAUAUUGGACCAUGGGCGCAAGCCUGAUCCAGCCAUACCGCGUGGGUGAAGAAGGCCUUCGGGUUGUAAAGCCCUUUUGUUGGGAAAGAAAAGCAGCAGGUUAAUACCCCGCUGUUCUGACGGUACCCAAAGAAUAAGCACCGGCUAACUUCGUG
Molecule: ribosomal RNA, 492 nt
Filed under: uncultured bacterium
Lineage: Bacteria
Description: partial 16S ribosomal RNA
Rfam family: Bacterial small subunit ribosomal RNA
Source: RNAcentral